GCGGUGCGAGGGGAUGGUGGCCUGGGGAGAGCGUUUGCUGAAUUGGCUCAGAGAAACCUCCCCCACGCUGGGUGUUCGGGCUCUGAGCUCCCUCAGAGCUUGUGUGGUGGUGGCCGCCAAGCCAGGGCUGGUUCCUGGGAACAAAGAACAAAAGAGCCCUGUCUGAGGAGCCUCACAAGACUUCGCCGUCCUGGCUGGCACGAGAGCAAGCCUCCCGCUGUGUCUGUCUGCUCGGGAGGAGCAGCAGCCACAUAUCCGAGUGGAUGUCGUGUGAUUUGUGCCUUACGAUGUCUCCCUUUAUCCUCGGUGAGGACCUGUGGCCUCGUGGGUCCCCUUUUGGAUUGGGGUUGCUGUCCUGUGUCCCCAUGCUUCAGUGCUGGGCUUCGAGUUGGAUGGGACCGCCUGUGGCCGGGGAGCCCUCAGCCAUAUUACUCAUGUGCUGUGUUGUUUUCCCUCCUGACCCUGCCUCUGGAGCUGCUCUGGGCUCCUCACUGGAACAGAUCAAGCUCCCAGCAGGGAACAAUCAAUUUUCCCCCUUCAUCCUGCCUGCCUCUGCCAUUACUUGAGGAGCUCGAGCCCUCCAGGAGGGGACGGGAGAGCUGGGCCAUCGCUCAGCCAGUGCGUGGCCACCAGCAGCACAAUUCCUCGUGUGCUGGGACCCGAUGGAUGGAGCAGCAUCUUCACCCGUGCUGGGGCUGGCCCUGCGUGUCUUCUCCAUUCCCUGUGGAAAACCAGGGUGCCUGGACCUGCUGCCUCCCUGCGUGGAGCUGCUGUGUCUACAGGAGAAGAUUUGGGCUCCCUGCACCUCUUUGGGCUUCAGGAGCGAAGGAUGUGGGUGGCCUUCCAGCAGACGGUGGCAUUACCUGCUGUGCUGGAUCCAACAUCCUUCCUCUGGGCGUGGAGCUGAGCAAAGCCUUGUGGAGAGCUGCAGGAGCCCAACCACCGCUCUCACGUGUGGGUAGGUGGGCUCGGCACUUGGCCAUUUCUGCACAGCAGCAGGAGGAUGUUGGAAAGGGGACGCCGCUUGUUGAACGGCCCCUUCUGUCCCCUCACUGCCCAUGGGAUGUCACUUCUGCGUGCCCAGCUCCUCGGACUCGCUGUGAUGUGAGAGCAGCACUGGCUUUCCGCCGUCCCUUCCAUCCCAGACAACCCAACUCCCAAGUUUUGGCACCUUCUCUCGCUUCCCUCGUGGUUUUAUCCCAGCGCCAGGGGCUUGCGUUGCGCUCAUCGAUGCUCGAGCGUGUCCCGCACGGCCCGCGUGAUGCACGGGCCAGAAGGAGCCCAGCUCGGCAACCCCACACAAAGGGGAAUUGUGUAACACGAGAAGAUUAG
RNAcentral lists this long non-coding RNA (1332 nucleotides) under Anas platyrhynchos platyrhynchos (common mallard). Its description in RNAcentral is "lncRNA (ENSAPLG00000020101.1)". The record is from RNAcentral. Lineage: Eukaryota; Metazoa; Chordata; Aves; Anseriformes; Anatidae.